Nicotiana tabacum (common tobacco) is the source of this 1001-nucleotide long non-coding RNA. RefSeq lists it as uncharacterized. Lineage: Eukaryota; Viridiplantae; Streptophyta; Magnoliopsida; Solanales; Solanaceae. The record is from RefSeq and is a predicted model, not a curated record.
CCUUCUGCCGAAAAAAGAAAAAGAGGAAAAACUCUGAUGCCAAAUGUUCAUGGUAGGAAAUAGCGCAAGCUAAUUGUGCUAAACGAGAACAAUCAACCCAUAGGUCCUACUGAUGAUGUUGUAGCAGAGUUGGGUAGCUUCCUCGGCACAUUGGCAAGGAAUGCGACCUUUUGUCCUCUUAAUGUGUUUAAUUGGAGGAAACUUCAAACAAAAGAAGGAAAAAUAUGACAUUCUUGAUGCUUCAAAAAAGUGGGUUUUUGAUUCAAUUCAAAAUGCUUGGAGAAAGUAUAAGAAUCAAUUAUUUAAUGACCAUUAUAAAGCCUAUGAGAAUGACGAGUUUCGAAUGGAGAAAAAGCCGAUUUAUGUUCCUCAAUCUCAAUUUAGGGAUCUUUUUAAUUAUUAGAACUCUGAUGCCUACAAGCAAAAUUAGAGGAAAAGGAAGAAAGGAUGCAACAAAUAUUGCAGGAAAAGUUCAAUGCACAAAAAGAUGCCAUGGAACUAUAAGUUGCAGUUAACAUCAUUUCACAACUUAAAUAUCUGAAUCCAGAUUUACGAGUUGAUCCCAGCAUGCUAGCUUUCUAUGCUCGUUCACCUGGAGAAGCUUCCUCUGCACAACAAGCUGCCGUGCAACUAAUCAAUCGUCAAUCUACUGGGAGUAAUAAUCAAGGACAUGGUGGGUUGCUUGGUCUUGUGUUUGGGUUUCAAUGUUAAGCGAGAGUAGUUAUUCAAGAAUCCUGAGUAUGAGGUUAUUACAGCUGCAAGGCCUACAUUGUCAAGGCUUAUGUAUUACCAGACAGUGGAACAAUUGAAGAAAGGGAAGAUGAAGAUUGUGAAGAUCUAGACCUUACUUAAGAACUUUGAAUUGUUGUCCAUGUUCUAGUAAUCUUUUAUUAUCAACAUUUGAAACUUACUCUAACUCUUGAAGUGUUCAAAUGUAAAACUUAUGUGAUUGGGUUAAAACAUUUUGGUUUUAUGGAGACAAUGUAGAUUAUGAAGUGUUU